AUGCCCCUGGACUUCACCAAGCACUUCGUCGCGGUGCCGACAAAGUUCAAGCUCGGGAACAACACCGGCUGCUCCUGGAAGGUGAUGAUGAAGCUGAUGAACGGCAGGGUGACCCUGGAUCAGGGUUGGGCCACCUACGCAGCCGUUCAUCAGAUCAAAAUCGGCUACAUGGUGACGUUCAAGCUCCUCACUCCCGACACCCUCAAGGUCAUCAUCUUCGACGACGAUGGCAUUAAGGUCGUCAACAAGUGCGGGAAGCACGACGAAGCCUUCGCCGCCAAGGAGUAG
Molecule: ribosomal RNA, 288 nt
Filed under: Triticum aestivum (bread wheat)
Lineage: Eukaryota; Viridiplantae; Streptophyta; Magnoliopsida; Poales; Poaceae
Description: partial small subunit ribosomal RNA
Source: RNAcentral